UACGAACCAAAGAGGGAAAGAGUAAUAAAGAAUCACUUGGCCAGAGAGGGAAUGCCACAGGCUGGAAGCAUUCCUGCAGCGUAUCUUUAUGAAAGACAUUCCUUAGGUUCCUCAUCGAACAGUUAAGCUUAGCUUAGUAGGUGUAGGACGUAGCAGGCGUUAACUGUUUAAGCGGAAGCCUUUGCUUCAAUUAGGGUGGCAACGCGGGAACUCAACUCCCGUCCCUAUU
This 229-nucleotide non-coding RNA is filed under the name Pontibacillus marinus. RNAcentral describes it as "T-box sequence". It matches the Rfam family "T-box leader". Rfam says of the family: Uncharged tRNA acts as the effector for transcription antitermination of genes in the T-box leader family. T-boxes are found upstream of many aminoacyl-tRNA synthetase genes and some amino acid biosynthetic genes usually in Gram-positive bacteria. Lineage: Bacteria; Bacillati; Bacillota; Bacilli; Caryophanales; Bacillaceae. The record is from RNAcentral.